UACGGGGGGGGCAAGCGUUGUUCGGAAUUACUGGGCGUAAAGGGCGCGUAGGCGGUCAGAUAAGUCAGCUGUGAAAACCUCGGGCUUAACCCGAGGCCUGCAGUUGAAACUGUUUGGCUGGAGUGUGGGAGAGGAGAGUGGAAUUCCCGGUGUAGCGGUGAAAUGCGCAGAUAUCGGGAGGAACACCAAUGGCGAAGGCAGCUCGCUGGGACGUGACUGACGCUGAGACGCGAAAGCGUGGGGAGCAAACAGG
RNAcentral lists this ribosomal RNA (253 nucleotides) under uncultured bacterium. Its description in RNAcentral is "partial 16S ribosomal RNA". It matches the Rfam family "Bacterial small subunit ribosomal RNA", at positions 524 to 776 of the family's 1533-position model. The record is from RNAcentral.